Molecule: non-coding RNA, 810 nt
Organism: Manis javanica (Malayan pangolin)
Lineage: Eukaryota; Metazoa; Chordata; Mammalia; Pholidota; Manidae
Source: RefSeq, a predicted model, not a curated record
ACCCGGUGAAGUUCAGCCCUCGGUCCAGGCGCCCUGCAAGGAGCUGUCCUCAGCACAAAGGAGACAUCGGCCCGGAGAAGCUGCUGCUCAUGGGCGUGUCUGGCCAUCACAGAUGAGCUGCACAAGCUGAGGCUGUCACGCUGGAUGAGAGAGCCAUGACUCUCAUGACGCUGUGCUGGGAGCGUCCACGUAUGACCCACUGUAACCCCACAACCAUCACGGAAUGGAGGUUCUAGCACCUCGCUGACAGCUGGGCAGCCACCUUAGGCAAGGGACUGCUCAGGAUCCACAUCAAAAUACACCCAGCUGCAGAGCCCAGGUUCUUUGGAACCAGCGGGUCCAGGGUGCGCACGUCCCUCUCCCUGCUCUCGGCCUCUGCUCGAGCUGCUCGCCUGGCCUUGAGAGGUGCUCCCUCCUAUCCACUGGCCCGAAUCCUGCUGCCUGGGCUCUGUGAAGGCCUCUCCAACAAGGCUGCCCCACAGCCUCUGUUCCUAGAGCUCACAGCGCUCCUCGUGUCCUGCUCUGCAUGUGUCCAAGAGGCAGCUGACACAGACACCACGCCUGCGGGACCUCUGCCUGCUCCCAGGCUCUACCACUAGGCGCACACAUGGAAGGACUGCCUGGCUGAAUGGCCAGGACUCCCACACUGGAGAAUCCUACAGGUAUCCCAGCAGCCAGGCUCACACACACUCUGUGUAUAGCCUACAGAAGGUCAGGGGAUCUGGCUGGGGCCCUGCCCACCCACAUGGCCACUGUGUGUGUGGUGUGUCGAUGUGGGAGUGUGCGUGUGCACAGGUGAGCACCAUGUUG